GAUGAACGCUGGCGGCGUGCCUAAUACAUGCAAGUCGAGCGAACAGACGAGGAGCUUACUCCUCUGACGUUAGCGGCGGACGGGUGAGUGACACGUGGAUAACCUACCUAUAAGACUGGGAUAACUUCGGGAAACCGGAGCUAAUACCGGAUAACAUGUUGAACCGCAUGGUUCAACAGUGAAAGACGGUCUUGCUGUCACUUAUAGAUGGAUCCGCGUCGCAUUAGCUAGUUGGUAAGGUAACGGCUUACCAAGGCAACGAUGCGUAGCCGACCUGAGAGGGUGAUCGGCCACACUGGAACUGAGACACGGUCCAGACUCCUACGGGAGGCAGCAGUAGGGAAUCUUCCGCAGUGGGCGAAAGCCUGACGGAGCAACGCCGCGUGAGUGAAGAAGGUCUUCGGAUCGUAAAACUCUGUUAUUAGGGAAGAACAAAUGUGUAAGUAACUAUGCACGUCUUGACGGUACCUAAGCAGAAAGCCACGGCUAACUACGU
This 496-nucleotide ribosomal RNA is filed under the name uncultured bacterium. RNAcentral's name for it is "partial 16S ribosomal RNA". It matches the Rfam family "Bacterial small subunit ribosomal RNA", at positions 28 to 506 of the family's 1533-position model. The record is from RNAcentral.